GUCGCUACCGAGGGGUGUCCCGACAAGGGGCUGAGAUUCUGCUGGCCGCGAGGCAGCGCAGUGACCCUUUGAACCUGAUCCGGAUCAUGCCGGCGAAGGGACAGGUCGAUGCGCCUUAU
This 119-nucleotide non-coding RNA is filed under the name Devosia sp. RNAcentral describes it as "TPP sequence". It matches the Rfam family "TPP riboswitch aptamer (THI element)". From Rfam's summary of the family: Vitamin B(1) in its active form thiamin pyrophosphate (TPP) is an essential coenzyme that is synthesised by coupling of pyrimidine and thiazole moieties in bacteria. The previously detected thiamin-regulatory element, thi box was extended, resulting in a new, highly conserved RNA secondary structure, the THI element, which is widely distributed in eubacteria and also occurs in some archaea. Lineage: Bacteria; Pseudomonadati; Pseudomonadota; Alphaproteobacteria; Hyphomicrobiales; Devosiaceae. The record is from RNAcentral.